AGCCUACGGGGGGCAGCAGUGGGGAAUAUUGCGCAAUGGGCGAAAGCCUGACGCAGCGACGCCGCGUGAAGGAAGAAGGCUUUCGGGUUGUAACUUCUUUUAUCAGGGACGAAGCAAGUGACGGUACCUGAUGAAUAAGCCACGGCUAACUACGUGCCAGCAGCCGCGGUAAUACGUAGGUGGCAAGCGUUAUCCGGAUUUACUGGGUGUAAAGGGCGUGUAGGCGGGAGGGCAAGUCAGAUGUGAAAACUAUGGGCUCAACCCAUAGCCUGCAUUUGAAAAUGUACUUCUUGAGUGCUGGAGAG
This 305-nucleotide ribosomal RNA is filed under the name uncultured bacterium. RNAcentral describes it as "bacterial SSU rRNA". It matches the Rfam family "Bacterial small subunit ribosomal RNA", at positions 335 to 656 of the family's 1533-position model. The record is from RNAcentral.